Molecule: ribosomal RNA, 253 nt
Filed under: uncultured bacterium
Lineage: Bacteria
Description: partial 16S ribosomal RNA
Rfam family: Bacterial small subunit ribosomal RNA
Source: RNAcentral
UACGGAGGGUGCAAGCGUUAUCCGGAAUCACUGGGUUUAAAGGGUGCGUAGGCGGCCUGGUAAGUCAGAGGUGAAAGCUUCCCGCUCAACGGGAGAACUGCCUUUGAUACUGCCGGGCUCGAAUUGGGUUGAGGCUGGCGGAAUGUGGCAUGUAGCGGUGAAAUGCUUAGAUAUGCCAUAGAACACCGAUUGCGAAGGCAGCCAGCCAAGCCUUGAUUGACGCUGAGGCACGAAAGCGUGGGGAGCGAACAGG